This 228-nucleotide ribosomal RNA is filed under the name Camponotus latangulus. RNAcentral's name for it is "partial large subunit ribosomal RNA". The record is from RNAcentral. Lineage: Eukaryota; Metazoa; Arthropoda; Insecta; Hymenoptera; Formicidae.
GAAUUUUAUAUAAGUUUUGAUUUGAUGGUUAAUAUUUUAUUAAUUAAUACUUAUAUUUAGUUGGGAGGAUUAUUAAAUUUAAAAAACUUUAAUAAAUUAUAAACAUUGAUUUAUGAUUAAUAUAAAAAUUUAAUGAUUAAAAUUAGUUAAAAUUUUAUGUAAGAAUUAAUUACCUCAGGGAUAACAGCGUAAUAUUUUUAGAAAGAUCUUAUUGAUAAAAGUGAUUGC